Molecule: long non-coding RNA, 1999 nt
Filed under: Homo sapiens (human)
Lineage: Eukaryota; Metazoa; Chordata; Mammalia; Primates; Hominidae
Description: HSALNT0323520
Source: RNAcentral
UCCCAAAGUGCCAGGAUUACAGGCGUGAGCCUCCCGGCCUGGCCCUGUUCUUUUAAAAAUAGCCGAUCUAACUUCACACUACUACCAAAAGCCAGAUCUGUCCCCAAGCUCUUUCUUCCCACAUCUCCCCUACCUGCUUGAAAGGGGGUGUUAAGACCUCCUCCACACCUGAGCGCCCCCACCCUGUGGCCGCCACCACCAGAACCACCAUCAACUCUGGAGGCCGAUCUGAGGAGAGAAGAGAAGCCAACAACCCCGCAGGAUGAGAGAGCAAUCUCUUUUGUAUCACAGACCCUCCGGAGCAGUUGCGGGAGGGCUGGCUGGGUGCAUGGAAGUAUUUAGCAGGUUCAGUGCCAUUACUGCCUAACAGGGUGUGAAAAGUAAUAUGAAUGUGAAAUACUGUGGGAAAACGGAGAGUUUCCAAAGCAGGCAGCGAGGCCCCUCCGCUGGUGGGCCUGGAAGGCCAGAAUCCCUGCUGCCCCGAGUGCGGCUCCCGGAGGCGCUGCUACUGGCCGAGGACUGCAGAGGGAAUGUCGGGGAGGGGGAGAUGGAUGGAGGGUGAGAUGGGUGGAGGGUGCAGUCCGCCCUGAGAAGAGAGGGAGGGGCAAGCUGGCAGUGCCUGGGAAAAGCCCGAGAAAAGCCCUGUCGGCUCCCUCUUCCUGGCUGCUAAAGUUGACACAAGACGGCUUCUUGGAACUCCCCCUCCUCCCGCCUAAAUGUACAGAGCAAGACUUGAAGUCAAAAGAUAGAUAGCGAUCGUGCUGAAAGUCAGGUGGAAAACAAGACUGCUAAUUUUAUGAAACAACCUAUCAACCCACUGGGAAGAGAUGACAAGAGGUACAUGGGCGCUUCUGCAGGAGGUGGAGGUGGAGGUGAAAUGCCGAGGUUCUAGACUGAUGUAAAUUUCUCCAACUAACUCCAGAUCGAGAGCCUACAAAUCCGACAAAUAUGCCCACACUUUGACAGUAACCGCCUCCCAGCACGCCCCACCACCGCCAACACACAUGGAGGGGUUUGAACUUUUCCACCUUCCGGACCUCUGCAGUCCGUCGCAGGACGCCCAAACCACAGGCCGGACACAGAUGAAGCCAGACCACAGCCCCCGCCCCAGCCACCGCGGUAGGUGGGUGCCCAAGAGACUUCUCAGGUGAGGGCAGGGGCCCCCUGAAAGGCACUAGAGAAGGCCUGCCGCCCGAAUCUCCCCAAGUGCAGGGGAGAAUUACAUUUCCCCACCUCCUACCCAACCUGCCCCGGCCGAGUUAUGGACAUCGCCGCCUCAUUCUAGACUUGAAGGCACUCUGCGGCCACCAAGAGACCACUCCGCAUCCUAGGUCGAGCCUGUGGGAGAAGCACUCGGGGCCCGGGAGGCCGAGGCCUAAGGAAAGCAGCCGAUGGCUCCCAAGACAACUCUGUCCGGCCAGUACUCCAGGGCAACUUCAACCCCACUAGGACCCAGGCCAAAACCAUAUAUAUAUAUAUAUAUAUAUAAAUUAACGCAAAACAGAGCCACUUUGGUGCCUACCCCUCCACAAGUAGGUAGGCACAUCCAGGUAGCUCUGUCAGAAGAUGGGACCUGGCGCCUUGCAGGGGUAGCCCUAUGGAGAUCCAGAAGCCCCGUUUCGAGCUACGAAGUCUCUCUUCUACUGCAGUCUUCUCUCCAACGUGGAGAUCUAGCAACUUCCCUCCCCCUGGGAUUCCCUGUGAAUCCACUCUAGUUGGGAUAUAGCCUCUCUACAGCUCAGUGACGUAGCGCGCCAAAACCAAGUACCCACCCCGGCAACUGGAAGACCUAGCUGUCCUCCAUCCCGCCUCCGCAGUCGAUAAUCUCCAGGAUCCAAGCAAAGUGCCUGUCCACGUUGUCACCAGAUCCACAAGCGCUUUUGAUGAGAGCUGCUACCCUUUUGGAAACACGAUUCCCUCUCCCUAGUAGAGAAGAAUCUAUUCUUCUGGGCUGGCGUAGACAAAGAAUAACCAAGAUAAAGUAUGUGGUGUGAAAAUA